AGUGGAUGGGGAGCAACCUAGUUGUGCGUGUGUAAAGGUAGUGCCAAGAAAAGCGGUGAUCAUGAUGAAAAUCAAUUCCCGGUACCCGAAACCGACACAGGUGGGCAAGUAGAGAAUACUAAGGGGCGCGAGGUAACUCUCUCCAAGGAACUCGGCAAAAUGACCCCGUAACUUAGGGAGAAGGGGUGCCACCGAGAGGUGGUCGCAGUGAAGAGGCCCAGGCGACUGUUUAGCAAAAACAUAGGUCUCUGCAAACUCGAAAGAGGAGGUAUAGGGGCUGACGCCUGCCCAGUGCCGGAAGGUUAAAGAAGUUGGUCAGUCUUAGGAUGAAGCUAGCGACUGAAGCCCCGGUGAACGGCGGCCGUAACUAUAACGGUCCUAAGGUAGCGAAAUUCCUUGUCGGGUAAGUUCCGACCCGCACGAAAGGCGUAACGAUCUGGGCGCUGUCUCGGAGAGAGGCUCGGCGAAAUAGGAUUGUCUGUGAAGAUACGGACUACCUGCACCUGGACAGAAAGACCCUAUGAAGCUUUACUAUAGCUUGGAAUUGUGUUCGGGCUUCCUGUGCGCAGGAUAGGUGGGAGGCGUAGAAGGUAUUCUUGUGGGGAUACUGGAGCCAACGGUGAGAUACCACUCUCAGGAGGCUAGAAUUCUAACUUAAUUAAGGACAGUUUCAGGUGGGUAGUUUGACUGGGGCGGUCGCCUCCAAAAAGGUAACGGAGGCGUACAAAGGUUCCCUCAGACUGGUUGGAAAUCAGUCGAAGAGUGCAAAGGCAGAAGGGAGCUUGACUGCAGAAGUACAGUUCGAGCAGGGUGGAAACACGGUCUUAGUGAUCCGACGGUGCUGUGUGGAAGGGCCGUCGUUCAACGGAUAAAAGUUACUCUAGGAUAACAGGCUGAUCUCCCCCAAGAGUUCACAUCGACGGGGAGGUUUGGCACCUCGAUGUCGGCUCAUCGCAACCUGGGGCGGAAGUACGUCCCAAGGGUUGGGCUGUUCGCCCAUUAAAGCGGUACGUGAGCUGGGUUCAGAACGUCGUGAGACAGUUCUGUCCAUAUCCGAUGUAGGCGUGAGAAUAUUGAGAGGAGCCUUCCUUAGUACGAGAGGACCGGGAAGGACGCACCGCUGGUGUACCUGUUAUGAUGCCAAUUGUAAACGCAGGGUAGCCAAGUGCGGAGAGGAUAACCGCUGAAAGCAUCUAAGUGGGAAGCCCACCUCAAGAUGAGUAUUCUGGUGUAAGGUCACGGGAAGACGACCCGUAAAUAGGCACGAGGUGGAAGUGCAGAGAUGUAUGAAGCCGAAGUGUACUAAUAGACCGUCGGCUUGACCU
Molecule: ribosomal RNA, 1325 nt
Filed under: metagenome
Description: bacterial LSU rRNA
Rfam family: Bacterial large subunit ribosomal RNA
Source: RNAcentral